This 503-nucleotide ribosomal RNA is filed under the name uncultured bacterium. RNAcentral's name for it is "bacterial SSU rRNA". It matches the Rfam family "Bacterial small subunit ribosomal RNA", at positions 29 to 526 of the family's 1533-position model. The record is from RNAcentral.
AACGAACGCUGGCGGCGUGUUUAAGACAUGCAAGUUGAACGGAUCAAAGUUGUAGCAAUACCGCUUUGGUCAGUGGCGCACGGGUGCGUAACACGUGAGUUACACGCCCUGCAGUGGGGAAUAGCCCGCCGAAAGGCGGAUUAAUACCCCAUGGUCCCGCAAGGGUAAAGGUGGCGCAAGCUGCCGCUGCAGGAUUGGCUCGCGGCCUAUCAGCUUGUUGGCGAGGUAACGGCUCACCAAGGCAACGACGGGUACCUGGUCUGAGAGGAUGAUCAGGCACACUGGAACUGAGACACGGUCCAGACACCUACGGGUGGCAGCAGUCGAGAAUAAUUCACAAUGGGGGAAACCCUGGAUGGUGCAACGCCGCGUGGAGGAUGAAGGUCUUCGGAUUGUAAACUCCUGUCAUCCGGGAGUAAGACCUGACGGUGAAUAGCCGGCAGGGUUGAUAGUACCGGAAGAGGAAGGGACGGCUAACUUCGUGCCAGCAGCCGCGGUAAUAC